Vigna angularis (adzuki bean) is the source of this 1729-nucleotide RNA transcript. RefSeq lists it as uncharacterized. Lineage: Eukaryota; Viridiplantae; Streptophyta; Magnoliopsida; Fabales; Fabaceae. The transcript has 4 exons. The record is from RefSeq and is a predicted model, not a curated record.
GUCUUUAUAUAAAGCUUCAAGUAAGAUUCGAUAACCUCCAAAUGCUGAAGAUCAUGCUUGUUUGAGGUGCUAUUUGAGGUUCAUGUUCCUCAAUCUAUCUUAGUCAUUAUGUGUAUAGUGCUACAUUUAGUGACGGGUAUAUACGUAACAUGUCCUACCUGCUUACCAUGCUCAACUAAUUGUGAAAAUCCAAGACUUCAGAAACUAGGUGUUCUCAAUGAGAGAUUCUUAUGCCACAACACCAAGUACGAAUUACUUACAAUCCUUUUCUUUUAAUCAUUUCAAUUACUUUAGUAGCUUGCCAGAUAAAAGGAUGUAACCUCAGAAGGUGUUCGGACUCGAUCUUCACAAGUCCCACAUUGGCCAAAUCACAAACCAACCAAGUCUUUAUAAAAGUUCGGACAAGGAUGACAGCUCGCCGAGUUGGGUAGCGUCAACUUGUGACUCAAGUGAGGGCAUUACGGUGGUGGGAUAAUACGGUGGCUUCUCUGGGUUGGGCUGUGCAUGGCAAAAUGCUGGCCUGCCCAUUCCAAGUUGAGAGCUGACUCAUGGGUCCUGAGCUAAGGCUUGGGUCUCUAGAGUCCUAAAGUGGAGGACACAGCGUGAGGCUGGUUUCACAGAGCAGCGAAAACCUCCCUCUCCUGACAGUGGAGGGAUAACAGGCCGCUGCAAUCAUAGUCCAGUAUGCCCAGGGAGCCCAGUUUACCUAGACCGCCACCAUUUUUGCAACCCUAAAUCCUCUUCCCUUUCUUUAUAUAAAUCUAAUUGCUAAUAUGAACCUAUGUUAUAUGUUUUUCCAUUCUCCUUCCGUUCCUUUUUCUGUUCGAUUUUGUUUGCGCAGGUGGUGCCCCUGCUGUACUGGUUGUUGUGUCUCCCUCAUUCCCACUGUUGAAUAUUCAACUCCCACCCAGGGUUGCUGUUAUAAGAGCAAAGUUUCUAGCCUAUUCUACAUAUACCAUGGGAACCAGAGGAGUAAUUGGAGACAAGUGGUCCAUCACAACAAUUCUUUGAGCUUGUGCUAUUGGAAGUGCUGUCAACCUGUAUAGAAAGCUAAGCACAGAAAAGAGGAUGCUGGCUGAAGAACUAAGGGCAACUGAGUCAGGGGGAGCAAUGGGGAAGACGGCUAAACUAUAUUUUGUGAUAACUAUGUAGUAUCAUAGAGCAUAUGCAAAGUUUCAGAUUUUCUGAAAGGUGUUUCUCCUUAUGAUUUUAAAGUUCCAGAACAACAAGUGGAUUCAACCUCUUGAUCAGGGUCCAAGGAUCUUGGAAAUCACGCUCAGAAUCACUAUCCCACAAAGAUAUUGGCUUGGUUAUUGGCGACCCACUGUAGAAGUCAAAAUGGGUUGCCAAACUGGUGUAUGCUCCAUGUCAAAUAAUCCCCUCAUGGAUGUGCUUCCUUCUUUCAUCAACCCCAACAAACUGCGUGAUUUAUAGAGUGAGGAGAAGGAUGAUGAGGAUGCUAUUAAAGAUGACAAAGAAGAUGAUGCUGAUGACUUAUACAGAGGUUUUUGGUACAGUAUAAUACUCCCUAUCUUUUCCAUCUGUUUUUCUCCGUUGAUAAACCAAUGUGUAUCUUCAUCUAUCUACAAGGAUGCAUAUAUAAUGGACAAACGUGAUGCAUAUGUACCAAAGAUAUAUGUGAUGCAUAUAUACGUCCAAGAUAGUUAUUUUGAUUUUAUACAAUGGACAAAUCAUUUGAAAUUAAUUAUGAAGCCGGCCAAACUUGACA